UACAGAGGGGGCAAGCGUUGUUCGGAAUUACUGGGCGUAAAGGGCGCGUAGGCGGCCUUCUAAGUCGAACGUGAAAUCCCCGGGCUCAACCCGGGAACUGCGUCCGAUACUGGAAGGCUUGAAUCCGGGAGAGGGAUGUGGAAUUCCAGGUGUAGCGGUGAAAUGCGUAGAUAUCUGGAGGAACACCGGUGGCGAAGGCGGCAUUCUGGACCACAACUGACACUGAGAGACGAAAGCCAGGGGAGCAAACGGG
This 253-nucleotide ribosomal RNA is filed under the name uncultured bacterium. RNAcentral's name for it is "partial 16S ribosomal RNA". It matches the Rfam family "Bacterial small subunit ribosomal RNA", at positions 524 to 776 of the family's 1533-position model. The record is from RNAcentral.